RNAcentral lists this ribosomal RNA (399 nucleotides) under uncultured bacterium. RNAcentral's name for it is "bacterial SSU rRNA". It matches the Rfam family "Bacterial small subunit ribosomal RNA", at positions 356 to 772 of the family's 1533-position model. The record is from RNAcentral.
GGGGAAUAUUGCACAAUGGGCGAAAGCCUGACGGAGCAACGCCGCGUGGAGGACGACGGCCUUCGGGUUGUAAACUCCUUUUCUCAGGGACGAAACGGACGGUACCUGGGGAAUCAGCCCCGGCUAACUCUGUGCCAGCAGCCGCGGUAAGACAGAGGGGGCAAGCGUUGUCCGGAUUUACUGGGCGUACAGCGCGCGCAGGCGGUCGUGUAGGUACCUGGUGACAGUCUCGGGCUCAACUCGAGGGGGUCUGGGUAGACCGCACGGCUGGAGGCAGGGAGAGGGAUGUGGAAUACCCGGUGGAGCGGUGAAAUGCGUAGAGAUCGGGUGGAACACCAGUGGCGAAGGCGGCAUCCUGGCCCUGACCUGACGCUGAGGCGCGAGAGCGUGGGGAGCAAA